UUUCAUCGCCCUUGCUUAUUUCUCCAUUCCUCUUGAGCUCAUUUAUUUUGUAAAGAAGUCUUCCUUCUUUCCUUAUAGAUGGGUUUUGAUACAAUUUGGUGCAUUUAUUGUUCUUUGUGGAGCAACUCAUUUGAUCAACUUGUGGACCUUUGCCCUGCAUUCAAGAACUCUUGCCAUUGUUAUGACUGUUGCUAAAGUUUCAACUGCUGUAGUAUCCUGUGCAACAGCUUUAANNNNNNNNNNNNNNNNNNNNGUGCAUUUAUUGUUCUUUGUGGAGCAACUCAUUUGAUCAACUUGUGGACCUUUGCCCUGCAUUCAAGAACUCUUGCCAUUGUUAUGACUGUUGCUAAAGUUUCAACUGCUGUAGUAUCCUGUGCAACAGCUUUAAUGCUCGUUCAUAUCAUUCCUGAUUUAUUAAGUGUGAAAACGAGGGAGCUAUUUCUGAAGAAUAAAGCUGAAGAGCUUGACAGGGAGAUGGGCCUGAUACGGACACAGGAAGAAACUGGAAGGCAUGUUCGAAUGCUUACUCAUGAAAUAAGAAGCACACUUGAUAGAGAUACAGUACUAAAGACUACUCUUGUUGAGCUUGGGAGAACCUUGGAUUUGAAGGACUGUAUGUUAUGGAUGCCAUCACAUAGUGGUAC
RNAcentral lists this long non-coding RNA (644 nucleotides) under Musa acuminata (dwarf banana). RNAcentral describes it as "long non-coding RNA (MACU_LNC002829)". The record is from RNAcentral. Lineage: Eukaryota; Viridiplantae; Streptophyta; Magnoliopsida; Zingiberales; Musaceae.